This is a non-coding RNA of Zootermopsis nevadensis, 1289 nucleotides long. NCBI's taxonomy places the organism in Eukaryota, Metazoa, Arthropoda, Insecta, Blattodea, Termopsidae. The record is from RefSeq and is a predicted model, not a curated record.
UGUUUUGGGGAACAAUUAAUCCCACUUCAGCUGGCACCCAUACAUUCCAGCUUUGCUGGCUUCUAAUGCAGCCACACAUUUCUCAACCACACGCAAAUUAGACAGCUGUUUAAGAGAAUCUUCUAGUGGCACACUAACACUUGUCUCAUUGGAAAUCUGUAAUUGAUUUCUAAAGCCUUGGUCACAUUUAUAGUCAUAAGAUAAAACAAAUAUAUGAUGCACAAAUUAAAAAUAGUUAAAAAACCAUAAAAACAUCAGUACAAUACAUUCAGUAAACUUGUGAAAAAUGUAUCACUGUUAACAGAAUGUGGUACUGGAAAAUGUCACUAAAAUUCAAAGUUAGGAAAGAUCAGUGAUUCCCACUAUAUCUAACUGCUAGGUGCACAGGCAUGUACCAUGAAAUUCCACCAUCUGCAGACAUUUGAUUAGCAGGUCAUGGAGUCAUAAGCGAUAGUCACUUUUAACACAAACAGCAAAUUCACAUCUUAAAAUGACACUGGAAUCAUACACUAUUUUAUAAUGAAUUGUUGCUGCAAAUAGUCCAUAAACAUUAGAAUACAAAUAAAAAGAACACUUUUGGACUUAUGAUCACUGUUACAGCAACAAACUGCAAUUAUUUCAGAAGUGUGCACUGUAUUCAUAAAACACCAAAGUGUUAAAACAUCUUGGGUAUUUACAGCAAUGAGUAGUUCCACGACUCCAGUACUAUCUUAACAUGUGAACAAGUUUUAUAUAUGUUAACCGACUGUUUAUUGAAAGCACCUGAUGAUUGCAGAAACUGAGAUAUCCAGAAUGGCAGAAACAGAAAACAUUCCUACUGAUUUAUUACACUAAAUAGUGGCAUUUCUUUUUGGAAGAAUGUUACCUGUGAAUCGGCUGCUGCAGCAGAAUGGAUACAUGUCCACAAAGCAGUGCAGAACAGAUCUGAAAAGUGCUUUAUCAUAUUAUUUAUAUAAAAUGUGCUUGUGUACAAGAAACUGCCAAAAUUAUCUGUUGCUACAUCAUGAGCAAAUGUGUAUAAUCAGUGAUCCAGCAAUGGUUUGUCAUGCAGUAUACCAUAAAUACAUCAAAUUCAGUUUGAAUUUUAAGCCAUAAUAAAAUAUUCAUCAUGCUUUAGCUUGAAAACUGAAAGGCUAAAUUCUACCUAAUCAUCUCAGCCAACAAUGUGCAACCUAAAGAUUUUCUUAUUUUACUAACAAAGGCUGCCACACUUAUUAAAUUUUGAAACAAGCAUUGUUUUCCUAAUGUAUGAAGGGCAAAUCUUUAAAAUAUACAGGAUAUACCAUUCA